This is a non-coding RNA of Cyanistes caeruleus (blue tit), 835 nucleotides long. The record is from RefSeq and is a predicted model, not a curated record. NCBI's taxonomy places the organism in Eukaryota, Metazoa, Chordata, Aves, Passeriformes, Paridae.
GCAAUCAUUAAUUUUUAAAGCUACGGAUGAUGUCCUCCGAAGCAGAGACCACAUGAAAUAAACAGAUCUAUUAUUCCUAUGGUACUGGGAUAAAGUUUGGGAAGAGAAGUCAACAGGUCUGAAGGAAUCACAGCACUUUGAAGCCACUGCCUGGGCAUGAGAAGCAGCUGAGAACAGCUCAGGCUCCUCAGAGAGCUCCUGGCUGUGGAACCAACUGCAGCCUCUCCAUCACCCUGGGGAGCCUUCAAAAAGCCCAGGCCUGAUUUGCUCCUGCUCCAACAAAGAGAAGAAACUCCAACAACCUGAGCCUGCCUUUUUGGGACCGAUCCUUUGAAUUUCACAGAAACAAGCUGCUACAGCUUUUGAAUGAACUUGCUGCUAUUUGCUCUCACUCUCUCCCUCUUCCAGCUGUAUUUCUCAUCGCAAAUAAAGCCCAAGAGGAGCCGAAGAAUUCCUAGGGAAGCACCAUUCAUAUCUUAAGAAAUUGUCACUGUCAAAAGAAAAAUGCACCAAUAAAGAAUAUCCAACCCAAAAGAUGUAUUAAAGAGUCCUAAAGGUACCAGGCAGAGCAGUGGAACAGUGAAGGCGUCCCUGCCAGAUCCUCCUGCAGGACUGACAACCAGACCCCAUCCUCCUGAUGGUGAGCUCUCACAAAGGACCUGGCCAUGCAAAGUCAAAGGGAAAUCCAGACAUCCAAAGGCUGCAGGUUCCUGGUGUUCACAGAGGGGCCCCGCUGAGAUAAAGAGCGAGACGCAGAUACAGCCAGUACCUGGCUGGCACCUCCCCACAUUACCACUGCAGGAAUGUUUACUAACAAUAAAUAGUAAUAAUGAGA